Long non-coding RNA from Phyllostomus discolor (pale spear-nosed bat), 202 nucleotides. RefSeq lists it as uncharacterized. The transcript has 4 exons. The record is from RefSeq and is a predicted model, not a curated record. NCBI's taxonomy places the organism in Eukaryota, Metazoa, Chordata, Mammalia, Chiroptera, Phyllostomidae.
AAAGCCCAGUAGCACUGGCCUCCGGCCCCGUGUCUGAGGGAACACAGAGACCCUGCAAAGGGAGUUUCAGUGCAAACUCACGGUUGGUUAGCCCAGCCCACACCAAAAGCAAACCCAUGAGUCACCUCCUGAACACAAAUGCAUUCAUCGCUCAGGGUUAGUGAACGUGGGGCUGUCAGUUUUAUAAAUCAUGCUGGAAAGU